GCUGGGUACUGCUCAGUGAUAGAGCAUGUGUCGAGCAUGCACAAGGCUCUGGGUUCAAUCCCUAGCCACAACA
Molecule: transfer RNA, 73 nt
Filed under: Marmota monax (woodchuck)
Lineage: Eukaryota; Metazoa; Chordata; Mammalia; Rodentia; Sciuridae
Description: tRNA.Ala
Source: RNAcentral